UGACUUUGAUCAUGGCUCAGGAUGAACGCUGGCGGCGUGCCUAAUACAUGCAAGUCGAACGAAACUUCUUUAUCACCGAGUGCUUGCACUCACCGAUGAAGAGUUGAGUGGCGAACGGGUGAGUAACACGUGGGCAACCUGCCCGAAAGAGGGGGAUAACACUUGGAAACAGGUGCUAAUACCGCAUAACCAUGAACACCGCAUGGUGUUUAUGUGAAAGGUGGUUUCGGCUACCGCUUUCGGAUGGGCCCGCGGCGCAUUAGCUAGUUGGUGGGGUAAAGGCUUACCAAGGCAAUGAUGCGUAGCCGAACUGAGAGGUUGAUCGGCCACAUUGGGACUGAGACACGGCCCAAACUCCUACGGGAGGCAGCAGUAGGGAAUCUUCCACAAUGGGCGAAAGCCUGAUGGAGCAACGCCGCGUGGGUGAAGAAGGUCUUCGGAUCGUAAAACCCUGUUGUCAGAGAAGAAAGUGCAUGAGAGUAACUGUUCAUGUUUCGACGGUAUCUGACCAGAAAGCCACGGCUAACUACGUGCCAGCAGCCGCGGUAAUACGUAGGUGGCAAGCGUUAUCCGGAUUUAUUGGGCGUAAAGGGAACGCAGGCGGUCUUUUAAGUCUGAUGUGAAAGCCUUCGGCUUAACCGGAGUAGUGCAUUGGAAACUGGGAGACUUGAGUGCAGAAGAGGAGAGUGGAACUCCAUGUGUAGCGGUGAAAUGCGUAGAUAUAUGGAAGAACACCAGUGGCGAAAGCGGCUCUCUGGUCUGUAACUGACGCUGAGGUUCGAAAGCGUGGGUAGCAAACAGGAUUAGAUACCCUGGUAGUCCACGCCGUAAACGAUGAAUGCUAAGUGUUGGAGGGUUUCCGCCCUUCAGUGCUGCAGUUAACACAAUAAGCAUUCCGCCUGGGGAGUACGACCGCAAGGUUGCAACUCAAAGGAAUUGACGGA
Molecule: ribosomal RNA, 944 nt
Filed under: uncultured Bacillota bacterium
Lineage: Bacteria; Bacillati; Bacillota
Description: bacterial SSU rRNA
Rfam family: Bacterial small subunit ribosomal RNA
Source: RNAcentral